ACUGAAAAAAAAGACAACAAAAAAAACAAUCGAAAAAAAGGAGACACAACUCAGCUCUACGCGUCUUUUUUUUUUUUACAUU
Molecule: non-coding RNA, 82 nt
Filed under: uncultured Tubulinea
Lineage: Eukaryota; Tubulinea
Source: RNAcentral